UUCUAGGGAUGGGAAUCGAACCCACACCUACUUACCGGGCAGAUGCCACUAGGCUACCCUAGA
RNAcentral lists this transfer RNA (63 nucleotides) under Cordylochernes scorpioides. Its description in RNAcentral is "tRNA-OTHER". The record is from RNAcentral. Lineage: Eukaryota; Metazoa; Arthropoda; Arachnida; Pseudoscorpiones; Chernetidae.